Long non-coding RNA from Eleginops maclovinus (Patagonian blennie), 2051 nucleotides. RefSeq lists it as uncharacterized. The record is from RefSeq and is a predicted model, not a curated record. The transcript is spliced from 4 exons. NCBI's taxonomy places the organism in Eukaryota, Metazoa, Chordata, Actinopteri, Perciformes, Eleginopidae.
AAAGAGUCUUCAUAAUUUAAUAUAUCUUUGGGCUAAAAGCCUUUCCUCUUCUCCUCCUUCGGUCCGCUCUGCUGAGAGGCAGCUCCUGUUUACUUCACUUCAUUCCUCAGCGUCACAGCGGUAGAGAAGAACAAUACAUGCCUUUAUUUAAUCAGAACCGUCAGUAUAUGAGGAGACAGACAGCAUGCAGGAUUCACUUCAUCUGUGGGGUCCAGCUUCUUCAGGAUCUCUUCACACAGACGGACGGCAACUCAGUAGAACAUUUCUUGCUAUGCCAGCACUUCUCUUCUGCAAGAGUAGGACAUAGAUACAGUCAGUAAGAGAAGACCUAACACCCAAGCUCAAAAUCCUCCUGUGUUUGUCUUCUGAUACUCAUCAGAACUCAUUUUAAGCACAGUGAUAUUUUACUCUGUCAUUGAUUUGCAAGCAUCUCUGUAUGCAUUUCCAGGUGGGCUCUCUGUAGCACCAGUGUGUGUGUCUGAAAGCUGUCCCAUCGGUCCAGAACCAGGUGCCCGCCUGCACAAAGAAAAGGGUGGACAGGAGAGGACAGGAGAGGACAGGACAGGACAGGACAGGACAGGACAGGACAGGACAGGACAGGACAGGACAGGACAGGACAGGACCCCUAAACAGGAGGAACUCUUCAAAUACUCAACUACAACUGCAUUCAAAAUGUUGCUUAAAAACAUUUUGAACACGAACAAACACUGUACAGUAAAAGUAAGAAAGUGUACGUUUCUGCAGAAUGGCCCAUUCAGACUAUAUUCCACAUCUCUUGAUUUUAUUUGUUGAUGUUUUUGUUUGCAUAAAGGCUAAAUGAAUGCAGGUUAGCAUAACAAGGAAAUAGUCAAGUACAAAUUUAGCCAAAUACUCAAGAAUAAUACUUGGACAGAUAUACACCAGAACAGAAUGGUUCUGGGUGAUGGAAGAGGAGACUCUUCACAGGCUGUGGGACAUUUGACCGCUACUGGGACUGGCGUGACCUCGGCUUCAGUCCAGGACAGGGCUUUGGAGUUGUAUUGGAAACAGCGUCCGUUGAUACUGGUCCAUCCUCUGGAACAGAAGUGGAGCGCUUCACCGCACGACUCUUGACUGCAAACAUAAAAGAGUUCCACUAAAGUCAGUUUGUGAAACUGGCUGAGGCCAUCAACAUGCAUCAGUCAAACCAGGAAACGAACCUGGAUCAGGAUUCCUCUGACCACGACUCUGACAGUGACUCGGAAGACACACAUGCUGGUGGUGGAAUUACUGACCUGGAUCAGGAUUCCUCUGACCACAGAUCUGAAAAUGCACUCGAUGGCAUUACAGUAGUAAGUCAUUUUAACAGGGCAACGAUCUCACUUCGUUCUUCGUGUCUUCAAACCUUAAAGACUUUGCUUUCCUAGCUUUUUGUUUAUAACUAACCUCAGCCUUUGUUUACCCUGUAUACAACAAUCACACAUCAUUAAUGUUUUUGUGAAAUCUUGAUUUUAUGCACAUUUCCUAGUGCUUAUGUUUGUGAACUACCUUGGACUGAAAGGUGCACUGUGCAGUCCUGCAUGGUUUCAGUGCGGUUUUAUUUUUAUCUCAAAUUGUAGGCCUCUCCCCUUGAUCAGCUAGCUGCCUGCCCCCUGAAUACACUGUAUUCAGUCCCCACAGAUACAGUUGUGAAAAUAUUCAGUAGAACUUUAGUCAAAGGAGAACUGUAUUACUCAGAGCACUUCACCAGAGUAAUGAAAGGAACUGCUUUACUGUUCGGUUGGGAAAUGGACACACAAUCACUGUGUAUUAUUCCAUUGUGGUACAGAGACUUGAUAGCAGUUAGACAGUUUGAUAGAUCACACAGCUCGGUGCUACAUUUAGAAAAUGUAGUUGGCUUGAAAAGAGUGUUACAGGGCAGGAAACAGGUUUGGAUGUGAUGAAGUUCAACAGGAAAUGUAUGUUAGUUGAUCUGCCACAUUAUGCCCACCUUUAUGCAUGUAUACCUCCACGUUCCAGUGAGGAGGAUUGAAAUGUCAUGUUGAGGAUGAAAUGUCAUGUGGGGGAAUAAAAGGUGGACUCAAAGCAAAAAA